Non-coding RNA from Pelobates cultripes (western spadefoot toad), 295 nucleotides. Lineage: Eukaryota; Metazoa; Chordata; Amphibia; Anura; Pelobatidae. The record is from the annotation of a GenBank genome assembly.
GAAAAUCAAUAGCUUUAGUCUUUUAACUCUUUCUCCACAUGUUUGUCUUUCAGAGCAAAAAGAUUUAUAGUGUUUUACCCUGAACAAUGCCUUCAGUUCUGACCUGGGCAAGCACGUUACAACAAUGUUACAAAAAGUGUGAAGAGAUUAAGUCGAGGAGUAGGAAGUGCAAAAAUUCAUACAUUAUCUGUCAUAAAACACGCAUUUUAUCUGGAUUUAGAUACAAAAAGAUUCAUUAUUUCAGUAAUAGGUGUUAGUUAAUCUCGUUAUUAUGGUGUUUGUGGCCUGUCUUUGG